UACUCGACUCACUCCCUCACAUUCAUCUUCAUUCUCCACUCGCAAAAGACCGCCCCCUUCUUCUCAACCCUGUUUCGCCGCUCAAGCCUCAACCGCCAACUUCUCUCCAGAUCUCCAGUAACAAGAUGUUUGAGGCAGCAGGCGAGAACGAUGAUUUGAUUGACUUGGACUUACAAGAAGAUGUCUCAGCAAGUUGUCAAAAUGAGGGAGGGAAGGCAAAACGAAGGAAACGAUCAAAUGUGUGGAAUUUCUUUGAGAUGCUUCUUGAUUAUGAAAACGAUGAUGAUGGUAACAUCGACAAGCUUUGUGCCAAGUGCAAAAUGUGUGGACAAACAUAUUUCGUAGCGAGCAAAUAUGGAACCAGAAAUUUGAAGCAUCACAUAGGCUCAUGCCCUAAAAGAAGUUCAUGAGAUAUUAGUCAAUUGAUGUUGGCACAAAAUAGUGGAUCUUUGUUGAAACACAAGAAAUGAAGUUGGAUGAGCUAAUUGAAAAUGUUAUGGAGUUGGAUAUCAGCAAGACGAAGGAGGACGCUUCAAUUCCUUCUAUAAAUCAUUCAAAAGCUUA
Long non-coding RNA from Juglans regia (Persian walnut), 564 nucleotides. RefSeq lists it as uncharacterized. Lineage: Eukaryota; Viridiplantae; Streptophyta; Magnoliopsida; Fagales; Juglandaceae. The transcript has 3 exons. The record is from RefSeq and is a predicted model, not a curated record.